RNAcentral lists this ribosomal RNA (443 nucleotides) under uncultured bacterium. RNAcentral's name for it is "bacterial SSU rRNA". It matches the Rfam family "Bacterial small subunit ribosomal RNA", at positions 355 to 821 of the family's 1533-position model. The record is from RNAcentral.
UCGGGAAUUUUGGGCAAUGGGGGAAACCCUGACCCAGCAACGCCGCGUGAAGGAUGAAGUAUUUCGGUAUGUAAACUUCGAAAGAAUAGGAAGAAUAAAUGACGGUACUAUUUAUAAGGUCCGGCUAACUACGUGCCAGCAGCCGCGGUAAUACGUAGGGACCAAGCGUUGUUCGGAUUUACUGGGCGUAAAGGGCGCGUAGGCGGCAUGACAAGUCACUUGUGAAAUCUCUGGGCUUAACCCAGAACGGCCAAGUGAUACUGUCGCGCUAGAGUGCAGAAGGGGCAAUCGGAAUUCUUGGUGUAGCGGUGAAAUGCGUAGAUAUCAAGAGGAACACCUGAGGUGAAGACGGGUUGCUGGGCUGACACUGACGCUGAGGCGCGAAAGCCAGGGGAGCAAACGGGAUUAGAUACCCCCGUAGUCCCUGAGCGGGCUGGCAAGGC